AAUAGAUACCCUGGUAGUCCACGCCGUAAACGAUGUCGACUUGGAGGUUGUGCCCUUGAGGCGUGGCUUCCGGAGCUAACGCGUUAAGUCGACCGCCUGGGGAGUACGGCCGCAAGGUUAAAACUCAAAUGAAUUGACGGGGGCCCGCACAAGCGGUGGAGCAUGUGGUUUAAUUCGAUGCAACGCGAAGAACCUUACCUACUCUUGACAUCCAGAGAACUUAGCAGAGAUGCCUUGGUGCCUUCGGGAACUCUGAGACAGGUGCUGCAUGGCUGUCGUCAGCUCGUGUUGUGAAAUGUUGGGUUAAGUCCCGCAACGAGCGCAACCCUUAUCCUUUGUUGCCAGCGGUUAGGCCGGGAACUCAAAGGAGACUGCCAGUGAUAAACUGGAGGAAGGUGGGGAUGACGUCAAGUCAUCAUGGCCCUUACGAGUAGGGCUACACACGUGCUACAAUGGCAUAUACAAAGAGAAGCGACCUCGCGAGAGCAAGCGGACCUCAUAAAGUAUGUCGUAGUCCGGA
Molecule: ribosomal RNA, 520 nt
Filed under: uncultured bacterium
Lineage: Bacteria
Description: bacterial SSU rRNA
Rfam family: Bacterial small subunit ribosomal RNA
Source: RNAcentral